Molecule: ribosomal RNA, 494 nt
Filed under: uncultured bacterium
Lineage: Bacteria
Description: bacterial SSU rRNA
Rfam family: Bacterial small subunit ribosomal RNA
Source: RNAcentral
ACGAACGCUAGCGACAGGCCUAACACAUGCAAGUCAGGGGCAGCACAAGGAGCAAUCUGAGGUGGCGACCGGCGCACGGGUGAGUAACACGUAUGCAACCUGCCUGUAAGCGGGGAAUAACCCGUUGAAAGACGGACUAAUACCGCAUAAUACUAAAUUACUGCAUGGUAAUUAUUUAAACAUUUAUGGCUUACAGAUGGGCAUGCGCAUGAUUAGCUAGUUGGAGAGGUAACGGCUCCCCAAGGCAACGAUCAUUAGGGGUUCUGAGAGGAAGGUCCCCCACACUGGUACUGAGACACGGACCAGACUCCUACGGGAGGCAGCAGUGAGGAAUAUUGGUCAAUGGACGAGAGUCUGAACCAGCCAAGUCGCGUGCAGGAAGAAUGUCCUUAAUGGAUUGUAAACUGCUUUUGCAGGGGAAUAAAGUGCAUCACGUGUGAUGUUUUGUAUGUACUCUGCGAAUAAGGAUCGGCUAACUCCGUGCCAGCAGCCGC